Molecule: transfer RNA, 75 nt
Filed under: Acidianus brierleyi
Lineage: Archaea; Thermoproteati; Thermoproteota; Thermoprotei; Sulfolobales; Sulfolobaceae
Description: tRNA-Gly
Rfam family: tRNA
About the family: Transfer RNA (tRNA) molecules are approximately 80 nucleotides in length. Their secondary structure includes four short double-helical elements and three loops (D, anti-codon, and T loops).
Source: RNAcentral
GCGGUCGUAGUCCAGCCUGGAUAGGACGCUGGCCUCCCAAGCCAGUAAUCCCGGGUUCAAAUCCCGGCGGCCGCA